GAUUCAAAAGAAGAUAUCCAUUAAAAAUAAUAAGUUCAUACAACCCCAAGAAUAUAAAAUAAAAUAUAAAACCCGUGUCCCUUUGUUAGGGCUGCAUCCAGCCCUGGAGAAGAGCUCAGGCUUCCAUGCAGUGGUGGACGGCGGCAGCAGCAAAGCAGCAGCGGAUCCUUCCUUCUUUAUUUCUUCCUUUGGGAAAUAUUCCCAAAAUACCCAAAAGGUUUCUCUCUCCUGGCUCUAUGGGAUUCGGCCUGUGAACCCAAGCUUCUUCUUCUCCUGGUGAACUAUGUGGGAUUCCGCCUCUGAGAAGUGAUGAUGGGAGCAGCCCCCGGUGGGGGAAGAGGGAAUGCCCCCCAGUGGGGAAGAAGGAAUAAUCUUCUCGGUUCACGCUGGGCCUUUUAUAGGCUGCAACUCCCCCUCGCUCCUCCCCUGUUCCGAGUGCAGGAUUAGGAUGAAAGAUGCGGUGGGUAUAUUGUGGAUAAGGAUGUGGGAGCUGAUCUUGGAUGAGGAUGUUGAUGAGGAACGCGUGGGGUGCAUCGCGGAAGCAUGGGAAUUCAGCGAGGAAGAAAUCUUUGGACGCGGAAGAAGAUGUGGUCCUGACGUUAGGGAAAAUCUCACGGAAUGGUUGGGAGCAAGCUGCAACUAUGGGAAUAUGCGGAGAAGAUCUCGGCUGGAUGGCUGAUUCUCUGUUCCGAAACAGAGGAUAAAGCUACAAACUAGGAAGAAAUCCGGAAGAGUUGGGGUGCUGCGAAGAAGUUGGGGAUCCGGUUGGGAGAUGGGUUGUGUGAGGUUGCUUGGAUAAAGAUGGAUCUUUGUUUGCUUGGCAAGCAUCAUGGGAGGAGUUGUUCCGGAAGCUUUGGAGAUGAAGACACUUGAAUCAGGGGAUGUUUGGAUGAAGCCCACGGCUGAGAAGAGAUGAGGCUUUGGGAUGCGGCUGUAGGCUUUUGAGAAGAUCUCGGAUGGUUGUUCUUUGGAUGCGGAAGGAGUUGGAUUCCUGGGCUUUAUCCAUGGACGAUGGGACUCCGUUCCAAACGGGAUGAGAUCUGGGCGUUUCGGAAGGCUUAUCCCGCCUGAGAAAAGAACUUGAGGAUUCGGUUGGGAGGAUAAGUUGGGAGGAAUCAUGGAAGCAGGGGAGAUGAACUCUGUUUUGNNNNNNNNNNNNNNNNNNNNUUGGGCGUUUCGGAAGGCUUAUCCCGCCUGAGAAAAGAACUUGAGGAUUCGGUUGGGAGGAUAAGUUGGGAGUAAUCAUGGAAGCAGGGGAGAUGAACUCUGUUUUGAGGCUGGGAUGCAGGGGCUGAUCCGGAAUGAACACCUGGGCCUUAUCCUGUGGAUGACGGGAGUUCAUUGCGGACGGGAUGAAGGCUGGGUUCGAUCUGGAGUAGGCAAUCUAGGAGAAUCAAAGCCGGAAGAAAAGGAUGGCCAAUCCGAACGCGAACAGGAAGAAGUUGGGACUCGUGGACACCUUGCAGACCGCUGGAAUUGGAGCUAAUCCGGGCUGAAGAAGAUCUCAACGGGAUGAGUUGGAAAAGAUAUGGAUUGGCUCACGGAAAGAAGGAAAUGGCUGGGAGAUCAUCCUUGAAUCGCGGACGGGAGAGAAGACACGCGGAUGGAAUGCCUGGCUUGGAUGCGGAACAGGGGAGGUGAUUCGGAAUGCUGGGAGAUCGUGAUCUAAUCCGGAACGUGGAGGAGAAGCUGGNN
RNAcentral lists this long non-coding RNA (1695 nucleotides) under Phoenix dactylifera (date palm). Its description in RNAcentral is "long non-coding RNA (PDAC_LNC009430)". The record is from RNAcentral. Lineage: Eukaryota; Viridiplantae; Streptophyta; Magnoliopsida; Arecales; Arecaceae.